This 490-nucleotide ribosomal RNA is filed under the name uncultured bacterium. RNAcentral describes it as "bacterial SSU rRNA". It matches the Rfam family "Bacterial small subunit ribosomal RNA", at positions 30 to 521 of the family's 1533-position model. The record is from RNAcentral.
AUUGAACGCUGGCGGCAGGCCUAACACAUGCAAGUCGAGCGAGAAAGGCUUUCGGGCUGAGUACAGCGGCGGACGGGUGAGUAACGCGUAGGAAUCUACCUGGUAGUGGGGGACAACAUGGGGAAACUCAUGCUAAUACCGCAUACGCCCUAUGGGGGAAAGUGGGGGACCUUCGGGCCUCACGCUAUCAGAUGAGCCUGCGUAGGAUUAGCUUGUUGGUGAGGUAAAGGCUCACCAAGGCGACGAUCCUUAGCUGGUCUGAGAGGAUGAUCAGCCACACUGGAACUGAGACACGGUCCAGACUCCUACGGGAGGCAGCAGUGGGGAAUAUUGUCAAUGGGAGCAAUCCUGAACCAGCAAUGCCGCGUGUGGGAUGACAGGGCUCAGCCUUGUAAACCACUGUCGGACGGGACGAGAGGGUGUUUUUGGUCACCUGGGACGGUACCGUCAAAGGAAAGGGUCGGCGUAACUACGUGCCAGCAGCCGCGGU